GUGAGGAAUAUUGGUCAAUGGACGGAAGUCUGAACCAGCCAUGCCGCGUGCAGGAAUAAGGUCCUAUGGAUUGUAAACUGCUUUUAUUCGGGAAUAAACCUCUUUACGUGUAGGGAGCUGAAGGUACCGAAGGAAUAAGCACCGGCUAACUCCGUGCCAGCAGCCGCGGUAAUACGGAGGGUGCAAGCGUUAUCCGGAAUCAUUGGGUUUAAAGGGUCCGCAGGCGGGCUAUCAAGUCAGAGGUGAAAUCCCACAGCUUAACUGUGGAACUGCCUUUGAAACUGAUGGUCUUGAAUUAAGUGGGCGUUGGCGGAAUAUGACAUGUAGCGGUGAAAUGCAUAGAUAUGUCAUGGAACACCGAAAGCGAAGGCAGCUAACGAUACUUAUAUUGACGCACAUGGACGAAAGCGUGGGUAGCGAACAGGAUUAGAAACCCGUGUAGUCC
RNAcentral lists this ribosomal RNA (445 nucleotides) under uncultured bacterium. Its description in RNAcentral is "partial 16S ribosomal RNA". It matches the Rfam family "Bacterial small subunit ribosomal RNA", at positions 354 to 796 of the family's 1533-position model. The record is from RNAcentral.